GAUGAACGCUGGCGGCGUGCCUAAUACAUGCAAGUCGAGCGAAUGGAUUAAGAGCUUGCUCUUAUGAAGUUAGCGGCGGACGGGUGAGUAACACGUGGGUAACCUGCCCAUAAGACUGGGAUAACUCCGGGAAACCGGGGCUAAUACCGGAUAACAUUUUGAACCGCAUGGUUCGAAAUUGAAAGGCGGCUUCGGCUGUCACUUAUGGAUGGGCCCGCGUCGCAUUAGCUAGUUGGUGAGGUAACGGGACACCAAGGCAACGAUGCGUAGCCGAACGGAGAGGGUGAUCGGCCGCACGGGGACUGAGAAACGGCCCAGACUCCUACAGGAGGCAGCAGUAGGGGAUCUUCCGCAAUGGACGAAAGUCUGACGGAGCAACGCCGCGUGAGUGAUGAAGGCUUUCGGGUCGUAAAACUCUGUUGUUAGGGAAGAACAAGUGCUAGUUGAAUAAGCUGGCACCUUGACGGUACCUAACCAGAAAGCCACGGCUAACUACGUGCCAGCCGCCGCGGUAA
Molecule: ribosomal RNA, 515 nt
Filed under: uncultured bacterium
Lineage: Bacteria
Description: partial 16S ribosomal RNA
Rfam family: Bacterial small subunit ribosomal RNA
Source: RNAcentral